GCUGGGCAAGGUGGCUGAUGCCUGUAGUUCCAGUCACUGAGAAGGCUGAAGCAGAAGAAUUGCAAAUUGAAGGGUAGCCUUUGCAACUUAGCAAGACCCUGUAUCAAAAAUGAAAGUAUUUAUUUUUGGUACCAGGAAUGGAACCCACGGUGUUUCACCACUGAGCUACACCCCCAGCCCUUUUUCUAUUUUUUUAUUUUGAUACAGGGCCUUGCUAACUUGCUGAGUCUGGGCCUCAAACUUGCAAUCCCUUCUGUCUCAG
Molecule: small RNA, 262 nt
Filed under: Marmota monax (woodchuck)
Lineage: Eukaryota; Metazoa; Chordata; Mammalia; Rodentia; Sciuridae
Source: RNAcentral